Molecule: ribosomal RNA, 450 nt
Filed under: uncultured bacterium
Lineage: Bacteria
Description: partial 16S ribosomal RNA
Rfam family: Bacterial small subunit ribosomal RNA
Source: RNAcentral
GUGGGGAAUAUUGGACAAUGGGCGAAAGCCUGAUCCAGCCAUGCCGCGUGUGUGAAGAAGGUCUUCGGAUUGUAAAGCACUUUAAGUUGGGAGGAAGGGCAUUAACCUAAUACGUUAGUGUUUUGACGUUACCGACAGAAUAAGCACCGGCUAACUUCGUGCCAGCAGCCGCGGUAAUACGAAGGGUGCAAGCGUUAAUCGGAAUUACUGGGCGUAAAGCGCGCGUAGGUGGUUCGUUAAGUUGGAUGUGAAAGCCCCGGGCUCAACCUGGGAACUGCAUCCAAAACUGGCGAGCUAGAGUACGGUAGAGGGUGGUGGAAUUUCCUGUGUAGCGGUGAAAUGCGUAGAUAUAGGAAGGAACACCAGUGGCGAAGGCGACUACCUGGACUGAUACUGACACUGAGGUGCGAAAGCGUGGGGAGCAAACAGGAUUAGAUACCCCGGUAGUCC